Molecule: small nucleolar RNA, 227 nt
Filed under: Carlito syrichta (Philippine tarsier)
Lineage: Eukaryota; Metazoa; Chordata; Mammalia; Primates; Tarsiidae
Description: Small nucleolar RNA U3 (ENSTSYG00000022337.2)
Rfam family: Small nucleolar RNA U3
About the family: Small nucleolar RNAs (snoRNAs) are involved in the processing and modification of rRNA in the nucleolus. There are two main classes of snoRNAs: the box C/D class, and the box H/ACA class.
Source: RNAcentral
AAUACCAUAAUUUAACCCAUUUUACAAAUGACGUUGACACUCUCUAUAAUUUGUUACUAGAGUGAACUUUCUCUAAUCAUGUAGAGCACCAGAAACCACAAGGAGGAGGAGCAGCAUUUUCUCCUGAGCCUGAAGCCAGCUCUCUUGGAGUAGCUGCCAUUUGCCAUUGAUGAUCAUUCUUCUCUUCCUCUGGGAGAAUAAGAGGAAGAGGACACAGUCUGAGUGGU